This 163-nucleotide small RNA is filed under the name Arabidopsis thaliana (thale cress). RNAcentral describes it as "ATSL200460". The record is from RNAcentral. Lineage: Eukaryota; Viridiplantae; Streptophyta; Magnoliopsida; Brassicales; Brassicaceae.
ACAGGAUUUAGUUGUAGUUCUAAAUGUUAUACUAAUUGAUACACAAGAAAUCUUGUCAUAUUUGACUACAAACCGUAAACCAAGCUUCUUCUUACUUCUCAAAGCUUUGAUGGUGUAGCCGAAGUCCUUAUGAUAUUUGAUUUUGGAUCUUCUAACAGGGAAA